Molecule: transfer RNA, 70 nt
Filed under: Moricella rufonota
Lineage: Eukaryota; Metazoa; Arthropoda; Insecta; Hymenoptera; Tenthredinidae
Description: tRNA-Val
Source: RNAcentral
CAAAUUAUAAUUUUAUAAAAAUUAUUUUAUUUACAAUAAAAUGUAAGUUGUGUAAUUCAGCUUAAUUUGA